Molecule: microRNA, 23 nt
Filed under: Homo sapiens (human)
Lineage: Eukaryota; Metazoa; Chordata; Mammalia; Primates; Hominidae
Description: hsa-miR-6501-3p
Source: miRBase by way of RNAcentral
CCAGAGCAGCCUGCGGUAACAGU